AUUGAACGCUGGCGGAAUGCUUUACACAUGCAAGUCGAACGGCAGCACGGGGCAACCUGGUGGCGAGUGGCGAACGGGUGAGUAAUACAUCGGAACGUGCCCAAUCGUGGGGAUAACGUAGCGAAAGUUACGCUAAUACCGCAUACGAUCUACGGAUGAAAGCGGGGGAUCGCAAGACCUCGCGCGAAUGGAGCGGCCGAUGUCGGAUUAGGUAGUUGGUGGGGUAAAGGGCUCACCAAGCCGACGAUCUGUAGCUGGUCUGAGAGGACGACCAGCCACACUGUGACUGAGACA
This 294-nucleotide ribosomal RNA is filed under the name uncultured bacterium. RNAcentral describes it as "partial 16S ribosomal RNA". It matches the Rfam family "Bacterial small subunit ribosomal RNA", at positions 30 to 326 of the family's 1533-position model. The record is from RNAcentral.